UGGGCAAGCAACGUUAGCGAAAGUAGUAUAUAUUCGUAACAUGUCAAAUCCUGGGGCAUCACCGAAACUAAUAGCGUUUCCAGUUUCUCAAGCAUGAAGCUUUCUUCUCCCACCAUCAUCUUUCUUGUCCUCGGGCUUCUCUUCGCUUCCAUGGCCACCACGAGCUGUCGGGAGACGCCCACCCAUGGCGUGCGAGAGAAAGGCAGAGAUGGGGCUACGGUGCAAUCCCAAGGCGUCGUCUUCGGCCUUGCAAGGGCUUCUACUUUUACACCACCGGCGCCAAAAGCCAACCAUCACCCUGACCCUCCCUUCAACAAUCCCUGAAGCCAUGCUGCCCAUCGAUCAUGCACUGCACCAAUAUUUCAUGCUUUGUUGAAGACUACAUCGUUGUGCUGAUGCUGCUUCUCGCUUUCUCUCUCUCUCUCUCUCUCUCUCUCUAGAAGGGUGUAUUGAUGGAAAUGUUCGGUGAUUCCAGUAAUUGUUUUGUGAUGUGUUAUCGGUUCACAAA
This is a long non-coding RNA of Musa acuminata AAA Group (dessert banana), 508 nucleotides long. RefSeq lists it as uncharacterized. The transcript has 2 exons. The record is from RefSeq and is a predicted model, not a curated record. Lineage: Eukaryota; Viridiplantae; Streptophyta; Magnoliopsida; Zingiberales; Musaceae.